AUUGAACGCUGGCGGCAGGCCUAACACAUGCAAGUCGAGCGGAUGAAGGGAGCUUGCUCCUGGAUUCAGCGGCGGACGGGUGAGUAAUGCCUAGGAAUCUGCCUGGUAGUGGGGGAUAACGUCCGGAAACGGGCGCUAAUACCGCAUACGUCCUGAGGGUGAAAGUGGGGGAUCUUCGGACCUCACGCUAUCAGAUGAGCCUAGGUCGGAUUAGCUAGUUGGUGGGGUAAAGGCCUACCAAGGCGACGAUCCGUAACUGGUCUGAGAGGAUGAUCAGUCACACUGGAACUGAGACACGGUCCAGACUCCUACGGGAGGCAGCAGUGGGGAAUAUUGGACAAUGGGCGAAAGCCUGAUCCAGCCAUGCCGCGUGUGUGAAGAAGGUCUUCGGAUUGUAAAGCACUUUAAGUUGGGAGGAAGGGCAGUAAGUUAAUACCCUGCUGUUUUGACGUUACCAACAGAAUAAGCACCGGCUAACUUCGUG
This 484-nucleotide ribosomal RNA is filed under the name uncultured bacterium. Its description in RNAcentral is "partial 16S ribosomal RNA". It matches the Rfam family "Bacterial small subunit ribosomal RNA", at positions 30 to 507 of the family's 1533-position model. The record is from RNAcentral.